GAGUUUGAUCAUGGCUCAGGAUGAACGCUAGCGGCAGGCUUAACACAUGCAAGUCGAGGGGCAGCGGGGAGGAAGCUUGCUUUCUCCGCCGGCGACCGGCGCACGGGUGAGUAACACGUAUGCAACCUGCCCCUGUCAGGGGGACAACCCGCCAAAAGGCGGGCUAAACCCGCGUACAUGCCACCGGGGCAUCCCGGAGGCAGGAAAGGCUUCGGCCGGACAGGGAUGGGCAUGCGGCGCAUUAGGCAGUAGGCGGGGUAACGGCCCACCUAACCGACGAUGCGUAGGGGUUCUGAGAGGAAGGUCCCCCACACUGGUACUGAGACACGGACCAGACUCCUACGGGAGGCAGCAGUGAGGAAUAUUGGUCAAUGGUCGGGAGACUGAACCAGCCAAGCCGCGUGAGGGAUGAAGGUACAGAGUAUCGUAAACCUCUUUUGUCAGGGAACAAAGGCGGGGACGUGUCCCCGGAUGAGUGUACCUGAAGAAAAAGCAUCGGCUAACUCCGUGCCAGCAGCCGCGGUAAUACGGAGGAUGCGAGCGUUAUCCGGAUUUAUUGGGUUUAAAGGGUGCGCAGGCGGUCUGUUAAGUCAGCGGUCAAAGCCCGGGGCUCAACCCCGGCCCGCCGUUGAAACUGGCAGUCUCGAGUUGGAGAGAAGUAUGCGGAAUGCGCGGUGUAGCGGUGAAAUGCAUAGAUAUCGCGCAGAACUCCGAUUGCGAAGGCAGCAUGCCGGCUCCACACUGACGCUGAGGCACGAAAGCGUGGGUAUCGAACAGGAUUAGAUACCCUGGUAGUCCACGCAGUAAACGAUGAAUGCUGGCUGUCCGGGGGGGAUUGACCCCUGGGUGGCGAAGCGAAAGCGAUAAGCAUUCCACCUGGGGAGUACGCCGGCAACGGUGAAACUCAAAGGAAUUGACGGGGGCCCGCACAAGCGGAGGAACAUGUGGUUUAAUUCGAUGAUACGCGAGGAACCUUACCCGGGCUCAAACGGGGAGUGACUCAGGCAGAGACGCCUGUUUCCCACGGGACACUCCCCGAGGUGCUGCAUGGUUGUCGUCAGCUCGUGCCGUGAGGUGUCGGCUUAAGUGCCAUAACGAGCGCAACCCCCGCGUGCAGUGUAACAGAUAACGCUGAGGACUCUGCACGGACUGCCGGCGCAAGCCGCGNGAAGGCGGGGAGACGUCAAAUCAGCACGGCCCUUACGUCCGGGGCGACACACGUGUUACAAUGGGUGGUACAGCGGGAAGCCAGGCGGCGACGCCGAGCGGAACCCGAAAUCCACUCUCAGUUCGGAUCGGAGUCUGCAACCCGACUCCGUGAAGCUGGAUUCGCUAGUAAUCGCGCAUCAGCCAUGGCGCGGUGAAUACGUUCCCGGGCCUUGUACACACCGCCCGUCAAGCCAUGGGAGCCGAGGGCGCUUGAAGUGCGUCGCCGCGAGGCGCGCCCUAGAGCGAAAUCGGUGACUGGGGCUAAGUCGUAACAAGGU
Molecule: ribosomal RNA, 1487 nt
Filed under: uncultured bacterium
Lineage: Bacteria
Description: 16S ribosomal RNA
Rfam family: Bacterial small subunit ribosomal RNA
Source: RNAcentral